RNAcentral lists this long non-coding RNA (2504 nucleotides) under Homo sapiens (human). RNAcentral describes it as "non-protein coding lnc-POLE4-15:3". The record is from RNAcentral. Lineage: Eukaryota; Metazoa; Chordata; Mammalia; Primates; Hominidae.
AGUAGUCAGAACCUCCAGACUGAGCAUGUCACAAGGAAGGACUGCUUUGCUGAAGCCACUCACUCCGGGAGAUUUAUAAUUGGAAGUUUGGCCCAGGGAGAUAAUCAGCCAAGAGCGCGCACGCACACACACACACACACACACACACACACACACACACACACUCUGAAGAAACCCAGUGGAGAUUCAGCACUAACCCACCACACACACACACACACACACACACACACACACACACACUCUCUGAAGAAACCCAGUGGAGAUUCAGCACUAACCCAGCACAGAAGAGGAGAAGAGACAUACAGAGGACAAGGCCAUGUCACAACAAGUGGAGACUGGAAUUAUGCAGCCACAAGCCAAGGAACCUCUGGAACCACCAGAAGCUGGAAAUGGCAGAGCCAGACCUUGAUUUCAUGCGAGAAGGUGGAGUAGGAGGAAGAGAAGGAGGAGAGUUAGAAGGAGUAGGAGGAGGAGGAAAACCUCCUGCAGGCUCGUCUGAGUAUAUUCCUAGGUGAUGGCAGAGGGGCAAGAAAGCAAGCAAAAAGAAGCACAGAAGCCCUCUCAUGGCCAAAACUGGCUUGGUGUCACUUUUACCUCAUUCUAUUGGUCAAAAAAAGUCAACAGGCUGAGCCCAGAGUCAGAGUGGGAGAGUACUGCAUGGUUACAUGACAGAGGAUGUGGAUAUGAGGAAUCGUGAAGAACUGCAUCCAUUAGAGCCAUCUGUCACAGAAGGGACUAUUGUCAUUUUACUAAUUUUGUACAUGAGGAUAGGGAAGCAUGGAGAUGGUAACAUGCCUAAAGUCACAUAGCUUCUUAGCUGUGGAACCAGAAAGUAAACCUGGGCCUUCUGGGCCCAGGGCCCGUGGCUGUUAAAACCACUGUGCACACUGCCUUACUCCUACCCUUCACAAUCAGGUUUCUGCUCUGACCACCCUAGAAAACAUGCCCGUCUCAGGUUACCGAUGCUCUCCUAUGGACAGAUCCAAUAGCCUUUGUUAAUUGUCCACAUCUCUAUCCAUUCUGUAAUACUCCUGCAUGCUGCAUCCUUGGAGUUCUUUUCUCCUUUGAUUCUGCAGAACCUGUACUGUUUUGUUUCUCUUUCUGGCUUCCUCUGUCUGUCUCUCUUCACCAACUACAUAAUGCAUUCACUUCUUUUUCUUGGCAUCUCCCUUUCCAAGCACACCCACUCUCCUGGUUUCCAUUAUCUCCCUGCAGACAACUCUCAACUGGCUCUAAGAAAGCUCACUAUAAUUUUCAGCAACCUAAUUCAGUCGUUUGUCCGUCACAAAUAACAGCUCAGGAAAAUCAAAGGAUUUUCUCACUAGCAUCUUAUCAUUCCAUGUCACCUAGCAACUAUCCCAGUGCUUGAUAUUCUGCUACUAGAAACUCCCUACUACACAGAUAAUACCACUGGAAGGUAUAAAGCCACUUGACUGACCUCUCUCCAUUCACAGCAUUUAUAACUGUAAGAAAUUGCCAGUGGUUGACUCUUUCCGACCUUCGAAAGUGGCAAUUUCAUGUGGUUCAGCUUAAUAGUAUUUAUUACCUUGUGCUGUAAUAAUUUUGUAUCUGUAUCUCCCAUGAGACUCAAAGCUGCUUGAUUGAGGAGAUCAUGCUUGCUUCUGCUUUUCAUCAAGUUGCCUAGUACAUGACACUCUGUAAGGAUUAGACCAAGUAGGUAUUGAAUAAUUGUUUGGCGAAUUUAAAAAAUUAAAGAAACAUUUGAAAUCAAUGCACCAGAGGCUAGAGACAGAGUGCUAGGAAGGGAACAGGAUGGGGACAGGGACACCAGAGCAAAGAUAGAGUCAAAGACACAUUUCCAAAAUGGCAAUUCAUGCCUUGUGUCAGUUGUACCCACCUCACAUUCUUUAACACUUAAGGUUUUUCUGGGUAGUAAGUGCAAUACAUUCUUAUUAUAAAACAAUAUAGACAGUUCAGUAUGUAUAAAUGAGGAUAAAAUCAAAAUCACCCACAAUCUCACCACUUUGUGAUAAUAACCAUUAACUUCAAUAUUGAUGAAUUUCCUUGAAUGUUUUAUCUACAAUAUUUCUUUCAUAUAGUUGAUAUCACUCUGUAUGCACAAACUUGUAUCCUUUUUCUAAAUCUUAAUAUCAUAAUAUUAGCAUUUUCUAAUGUUAGUAGAUGUACUUCUUAAAUAUUGCUUUUUAAUGAUAAAGGUUUUUUUUUUUUUUUUUACAAAUAAAGAUUUGUCUAUAUUUUGGGUUAUUUCCUUAACACAUAUUCACAAAGGUAAGAAUUAAAAAGUAAUUUUAACUAAGUCAAGGAGCAUGAAAAGUUUUUAGAUUCUUGGUACACAUUUUUAUCCAGUGUUUUAAAAAACUACUACCAUAGUACACAUCUCCAAUUUCAAUAUCUCUAUGUGAGUGCUUGCCUUAUCAUGAAAAAGUCAAUAUUGAAUAUUAUUAUUAUUUUAUUAUACUUUUAUAACUUCAUUGGCAAAAUGUUAACCUGCCAUUUUAAAGUUUGCCUUUGUUAGAUUAUUA